Pyrus x bretschneideri (Chinese white pear) is the source of this 1769-nucleotide long non-coding RNA. RefSeq lists it as uncharacterized. The transcript has 4 exons. NCBI's taxonomy places the organism in Eukaryota, Viridiplantae, Streptophyta, Magnoliopsida, Rosales, Rosaceae. The record is from RefSeq and is a predicted model, not a curated record.
ACAGUGAGAGAAAGAGAGAUUUCAAGGAUUGGUAGUUUUCCUCUCAUCUCUGUCACACUCAACCUCUCUCUAACCCUUUCUUUUUCACUCUCUUUCAGACUCUCCCUUUCUCCCAACUCUCCAUCUCUCUCAACUUUAGUCCUAACCCUAAUUUGUUCUUUCAUUCCUCAAUUUUCUCCAUCUAAGCAACGAAAAAUCGAACUGGGUUUUCAAAUUAUUGAUGCACAGGGAUUCACGGACAGAGAAAGGAGAGAGAGAGUUGAUUGAGGGAGUUGGUGAGUAUGGGCUUGCACAGAAGGAAGAACGCAGAAAGAGAGAGAGGGAAAGAGAGAGGGAGAGAGACAAAGAGAGAUUGUGGAAAGAGGAGGAUGACGAAAAUUGAGGAGGAACCCAUGUCUGCAAAAAGUGAGUAAGUACUGAACCAAAGCUUAUUUUCUUUAAUGUAUUUGUGAUUUCUUUGUAGGACGCUACUGCAACACUCAAGUCCGUUUAGAAAACAGAGAGCGCACGACUUAAGGAUCUCGGGCCCAAGGUAAAAUAAGAACGAUUUGGAGCAAGUGACUCACAAAGUUAAACUUCGAUAUCGAAAUUAAUGGAAACCCAUUGAAUGCAUUGUAAUGGGUCUCUUUGGAAAAAUAGUUCUUAACACCAAUUGUGAGGUUUGUUCUUAUAUGGUACAUGACUAUUUUUAUAUUUCUUUUACACGGUUGUUAGUAUUUGUAGUUGUGAUUGGUGUUGUCCUACAUGUUUGAAUUUGGAUAGUCUAGGGUUUCUGAUGAGUUUUCUUUUUGUGGUUAAGCCUGGAUUUCCCGAGAAAGUGAGAGAUUGGAUGGAAAACAAACAAUGCCUGGAUUUCCUCUUUGUACUACCUGUUUGGCUGUUUCUUAAAAUUAAAUCGUAGCAAGUAUAAAUCAACUCUCUCUGUUUGUGGGUUUGGAUGGAAUCUGUAUUUCCUUCUUGCAUUUUAAUUCUUAUCAUGUGUUUGGUUUAUAAGAAAAUGUGAUAAUCAGGAGGGUAAAGCGAGGGAUUGGAUGGAAAACAAACAAUGCCUGGAUUUCCUCUUUGUACUACAUGUUUGGCUAUUUCUUAAAAUUAAAUUGUAGCAAGUAUAAAUCAACUCUCUGUCUUUGUGGGUUUGGAUGGAAUCUGUAUUUCCUUCUUGCAUCUUAAUUCUUAUCAUGUGUUUAGUUUAUGAGAAAAUGUGAUGAUCAGGAGGGUGUGAUAUUUCUUAUUAGAGAAAUCUUUACUUAGCAAUCAAACAGGAUAUUAUUGUUUCCAAAAUAUUCUCUGAAUUUUCAUGGGUUAUUAGGUGAAUAUGUGACCGUAGUGAUUUGAAAGAACUUGAAUGUGUGACUAACUUUGAUGAAUUCUAAACUUGCCGACAUUCUUUCCGGCAAUGACAAGGAUCGUGGGAACGCUUGGUCCAAAAUCACAAUCGGUUGAAACAAUCUCCGAUUGCUUGAAGGUGGUACAAUACUUCUAUCGAUGAUGGUCAUUAUUUUUCAAAGAAUGCUAUCGAAUUUCAAGAUUGAAAAUUGCUGGCUUUCAAUCUUUUUGAACAAGUUACCUUUGUAAGGUAUCAAAACUAUAAUUUUUCUAUAGCAAAUAAAAUUCUUUCCUUCACUAUGGUAAUUUUGUUUAGAUUAGCUUCUGUAACUUAGGAAUAAUGAAUGUCACAAUUGAUAAUAAGUUGAUACUUUGUUCGGAGCUUAAAUUGUAGAUCUGUGCAAGAUAUCCAUAUAUGGAUCAAUGCUACAGACUCUUCUCAA